This 487-nucleotide long non-coding RNA is filed under the name Phoenix dactylifera (date palm). RNAcentral describes it as "long non-coding RNA (PDAC_LNC002904)". Lineage: Eukaryota; Viridiplantae; Streptophyta; Magnoliopsida; Arecales; Arecaceae. The record is from RNAcentral.
GAGGCAGGUUCUUAGGGUCAUCAGGACUUCCACAUAAAAGAGUCAGCACACAAUUGGCUUUCUGGCCAUUUCAGGUGGAUGUAGGUAGGGAGCAAGGCAAAAAGGCCGGCUGACUCCAUUACACUUGUUAUUGGAACCAAAUCCCAGACCCUAAGGAGGCUUCUCAAUGACUAAAGUUUUCCUCUAAAUGCUCAUCUCCCACUCUCCUUUUAUGUGACGAAAAGUUUCUUAUCAUUAAUACUUUUAAAAGGGAGGCCCACCUUUAGAGCUCCACUUUAUCAUCAAAAAUUGUUAGAUCUCACACCAACCAUCGACAUCAUGAAGACCGUCGAAUGCCGAUCCGAUGAUGGCCAUAGCUCAGCUCGAUAUCUCUCUCUGUCCCCUCUUUGCUUCUCUCUUUAAGAAUCUCUCCCCUUCUUUCCCUUGUGUUGAGGUGACUAAAGGAAGGCAUGGCAAGAUAGCGAAAGGGACAACCUUCUAUCUCAUG